RNAcentral lists this ribosomal RNA (420 nucleotides) under Fusobacteriota bacterium. RNAcentral describes it as "Fusobacteria bacterium partial 16S ribosomal RNA". It matches the Rfam family "Bacterial small subunit ribosomal RNA", at positions 355 to 776 of the family's 1533-position model. Lineage: Bacteria; Fusobacteriati; Fusobacteriota. The record is from RNAcentral.
UGGGGGAUAUUGCACAAUGGGCGAAAGCCUGAUGCAGCGACGCCGCGUGGGGGAUGAAGGCCUUCGGGUUGUAAACUUCUUUUGCUCUGAACAAGGCAUGCCUUUGGGGUGUGUUGAGUGUAGGGGUUGAUUAGCGCCGGCUAACUACGUGCCAGCAGCCGCGGUAAUACGUAGGGCGCGAGCGUUGUCCGGAAUUAUUGGGCGUAGAGGGCUUGUAGGCGGCUGGUUGCGUCUGUCGUGAAAGCUCAUGGCUUAACUGUGGGUUUGCGGUGGGUGGGGGCUGGCAUGAGUGCAGUAGGGCAGGCUGGAAUUCCUGCGGUAGCGGUGGAAUGCGCAGAUAUCAGGAGGAAUACCGGUGGCGAAGGCGGGUCUCUAGGCUGUUACAGACGCUGAGGAGCGAAAGCGUGGGGAGCGAACAGG